GAUCAUUAGUGAAUAUAGGACGUCCAACUUAACUUGGAGUCCGAACUCUCACUUUCUAACCCUGUGCACUUGUUUGGGAUAGUAACUCUCGCAAGAGAGCGAACUCCUAUUCACUUAUAAACACAAAGUCUAUGAAUGUAUUAAAUUUUAUAACAAAAUAAAACUUUCAACAACGGAUCUCUUGGCUCUCGCAUCGAUGAAGAACGCAGCGAAAUGCGAUAAGUAAUGUGAAUUGCAGAAUUCAGUGAAUCAUCGAAUCUUUGAACGCACCUUGCGCUCCAUGGUAUUCCGUGGAGCAUGCCUGUUUGAGUGUCAUGAAUACUUCAACCCUCCUCUUUCUUAAUGAUUGAAGAGGUGUUUGGUUUCUGAGCGCUGCUGGCCUUUACGGUCUAGCUCGUUCGUAAUGCAUUAGCAUCCGCAAUCGAACUUCGGAUUGACUUGGCGUAAUAGACUAUUCGCUGAGGAAUUCUAGUCUUCGGAUUAGAGCCGGGUUGGGUUAAAGGAAGCUUCUAAUCAGAAUGUCUACAUUUUAAGAUUAGAUCUCAAAUCAGGUAGGACUACCCGCUGAACUUAAGCAUAUCAAUAAGCGGAGGAAAAGAAACUAACAAGGAUUCCCCUAGUAGCGGCGAGCGAAGCGGGAAGAGCUCAAAUUUAUAAUCUGGCACCUUCGGUGUCCGAGUUGUAAUCUCUAGAAAUGUUUUCCGCGUUGGACCGCACACAAGUCUGUUGGAAUACAGCGGCAUAGUGGUGAGACCCCCGUAUAUGGUGCGGACGCCCAGCGCUUUGUGAUACAUUUUCGAAGAGUCGAGUUGUUUGGGAAUGCAGCUCAAAUUGGGUGGUAAAUUCCAUCUAAAGCUAAAUAUUGGCGAGAGACCGAUAGCGAACAAGUACCGUGAGGGAAAGAUGAAAAGCACUUUGGAAAGAGAGUUAACAGUACGUGAAAUUGUUGGAAGGGAAACGCUUGAAGUCAGACUUGCUUGCCGAGCAAUCGGUUUGCAGGCCAGCAUCAGUUUUCCGGGAUGGAUAAUGGUAGAGAGAAGGUAGCAGUUUCGGCUGUGUUAUAGCUCUCUGCUGGAUACAUCUUGGGGGACUGAGGAACGCAGUGUGCCUUUGGCGGGGGUUUCGACCUCUUCACACUUAG
This 1141-nucleotide ribosomal RNA is filed under the name Rhodotorula mucilaginosa. RNAcentral's name for it is "eukaryotic LSU rRNA". The stretch from base 538 to 1141 matches the Rfam family "Eukaryotic large subunit ribosomal RNA", at positions 1 to 620 of the family's 3401-position model. Lineage: Eukaryota; Fungi; Basidiomycota; Microbotryomycetes; Sporidiobolales; Sporidiobolaceae. The record is from RNAcentral.